This 254-nucleotide ribosomal RNA is filed under the name uncultured bacterium. RNAcentral's name for it is "partial 16S ribosomal RNA". It matches the Rfam family "Bacterial small subunit ribosomal RNA", at positions 524 to 776 of the family's 1533-position model. The record is from RNAcentral.
UACGUAGGGGGCAAGCGUUGUCCGGAUUUAUUGGGCGUAAAGAGCGUGUAGGCGGCCAUACAGGUCAGCUGUGAAAACUCGAGGCUCAACCUCGAGACGUCGGUUGAAACCGUAUGGCUAGAGUCCGGAAGAGGAGAGUGGAAUUCCCGGUGUAGCGGUGAAAUGCGCAGAUAUCGGGAAGAACACCAACGGCGAAAGCACUCUGCUGGGCCGACACUGACACUGAGAGACGAAAGCUAGGGGGAGCGAAUGGG